This 5909-nucleotide long non-coding RNA is filed under the name Sus scrofa (pig). RNAcentral describes it as "lncRNA (ENSSSCG00005001907.1)". The record is from RNAcentral. Lineage: Eukaryota; Metazoa; Chordata; Mammalia; Artiodactyla; Suidae.
AGGGGCGCAGGGUUUCACCAGGAUCAGGAUGGGUACCUGGUGUCCUGGCUUCCUCUCCUGCUCCCCGUGGCUGCCGGACAGGGCCUUGAACCUGGCCUUCCGGUGUAGCUGUCCCUACCUUUGCCUUCUGGGUUCUUGGCUACGUGCAAGUGGCUUUCUGCUUCAUUGGGGGGCGGGAGGGGUGUGCAGAUGGCUUCUUGAGGGGAUGUCUCACCCAGAGGCGAGAGAAGGACAUGGGUGGGCUUGCAGUCGAGGGCAGAAUGUUCCAGACACGAGAUUUUCUCAUCACUGAUGCCCCGAUGAGCCCUGCUCACAGCCCUGCCCCCACCCAUCUCCCCUCCCCGCCCCCCCUCCAUUCUGUCCUCUGUAAAAUGGGCUGAACGACCCCUAGGGCUCUUGUGAGAAGGACGACACUGCCAAGACCUGGUCAGACCUCAGCAGCUGUCCCUUCUCCUCCCUGCCGUCGUGAAACUCCUCUUGGAACCUGCGUUUCCCCUGCCCUGAUGUGCUCGUUGAGGUAUAAGCGCACAGACGUCAUCGUGCACAGUGAUGGGUUUUGGCAAGUGUCUGUGUCUGUGACAACUGUCCAGAUUGAGGAGGAGGACCUUCCCCAGAGGUCCCCCGCCCCCCGCAGCCUACACCUGCCCCCUCGAGGCAGUCACUGCAGAUCCAGUCGCAAGGGAGGAAACCUUGGGAGUGCAGAACGUUGCAUGCCCGGAAUCACGCCGUGUCUGCGUUCUCUCUGUCUGGCUUCUUCCCCUCGGCCUCCCGACUUUGAGAUACACCCGGGUUGUGUGUCUCGGGAGAGAUUCUGUUUUCUUUCUGAGCAGCAUUGCAUGGCGUGGAUGUACCGCAGGGCUGCAGUUUCAAACGGGGCCCAAGUUCCAUAAAAGGGCCCCGUGCACCAAGAAGAGCGACUGUCUGUGGGUGAAAUUCUAGGCACCUCCGAGGGGAAGAGGUUUUAUCAUCUGAGUCUGAGCCCAUAAAUGGGUCCUCGGGACGUGGGCAUCUGUCCAGCCCCAGCGCGGGGGACUCAGGGGUGAUGGCGGAGGCCUUGGCAACUCAGCAGGCUUGGCAUUGGCUUGGCCCCAUCAGCUGUUGAUGCCAGCCCGCCUGCCGGCUCACCUGGCCUCCAGNNNNNNNNNNCGGGUGACCCCAGACAGGUAUGAAUCAUGUCUGGGGGAGGUGGUUAGUCAGAGGCAGAGAACACCGAAGCCGAGUUCCUGCUGGCUGACGGUUUGGACCUCGGGAUGGAACUGUGUGCCGUGGGGGUGGGGGCAGGCCUCAUCAUAGAGGGUGCAGCUGGCGAUUGCGGGUCCCGAGCAUUCUCGAAAGAGGAAGCGGAUAACCGCAGAGUGGCUUCAGAGUUAGAGUGCCAGCUCAGAAUCAUGGCUCCAUCACUUACCAGCUUUGUGGCCCCCACAGCUCAGUUUUUCAUCUGUAAAAUGGGGAUGUUGGCAAGACAUUGGGGACUAUAGGUGACAACACAUGGCUCAUGACAGCUCUUUACUGGAUGCCAGGCUCUGUGCUGCAUCAGCUUUGCAGGGAGCUCCCGUUCCUACCCUUGGUUUCCAGAUGGGCAGACUGAGGCCCGGUGGACGGACAGCCCUCCUUGCCCAAGGGCACACGAUGAUAAUUGGCUGAGCUGGACCUGGAACCUCUUGAGGCUCCGUGGGUCAUUACCACGUGACCUUGGAAGUUCAAGAAGAUCAACAAGCCCGGAGCAAACUGGCAGCCUAGGAGAAAAUGUUGGAUGGUGUUCGGACAGGAGUUUCGCGUUUAAUAGUUAGCUUCUUCUGUUAAUGUGUGUUGAGUGUGAGUUAGGAUGAACGGAGCAGGCAGAGCGCCUCACUGAUUUCAUGAGUGUUGUUUAAAACAAGGCUGAGUAAGACAAGGUUGAAGAGUGAUUUUUAAAAAAAAUAUCUAGGAAAUUAAAUUCUUUUGAUGGAGGGUUUGGAAACGGCGGACGUCAGAAAGGCUGGCGAAGCGAUGUGGUUUAUAGGAUGCGCAUCCCAAGGAGAGUCCUCAGGGGUCUUUAGCCAGCAGUUCCAGGCUCACUGCGCCUCGUGCAGAACGGAAACACUCUGCGUUUUGCCCUCGAAGGUCGCCGGCCGUUUGAAGGUCGGGGUCAACUCAAUUCUAAUGAGAUCAAGGCCAGGAGGUCAGGCCCCGGGCAGGGUCCCCAGGGAAAAGUUCAUGGGCCGGAUGAACUUUAUGGAUGGGGGGCGGUGGGGGGGGACUCCCGUCCUUCCCCCAGACCCAGACUGCAGCUCCCGGCAGGUGAGGCUCCAGCUUUGCCCUCAGGAUGGCGCCCGUAGAAGGAGCCAACCCACUGUCCCCUGGAUCUCACGGCCUCCCCGCUGUUUGCAGGGAGGGCGCUGAGCCCGCAGUGUCGGCAACCUGCCCCGGCACAGCUAUGUGUCAGCUGGAUCUCUGUGUGUGUUUUAAUCAAGAUUUCUAUGUUCCUUCUUUGUAAUGGGAAGAAUCUGCUUAAUUUAAUUGCCCUGCGGUGCUUGGAAUGAUUUGAUAUUUUGCAGAAUAGGUCUCUGAUUUAUUAUGUCACCUCCUGAAGGCACCUUUUUGGCUCUGGGGAGAGGAAGCACCAUGCGAAGCAAGAGAAGCUGAGGGCCUCGGGUGUCCUGGCCCCAGCCCCGGCCUCACAGGGGCGCCCGGGCUCCUGAUGGGCACAUGUCCUCUGUCGGACGCUACACCCCAGGCCAUGCUGUCCCCACUGUCACCUGGUCACUGCUGGGACCUGGCCCAGUUUGGGGGGACGUUCGGCUGCUUGUCUGGCUCGGAGUUUGGCAGAGCUGUGCGUAUUUCUGCUAGUUGCAAAACAGUUCGCUUGUGACAGAUGGCGGGGGGCGCUCUUUGAAGACUCCCCCACUGCCCCGAUGUGGCCAGAUGUAGCCUCUCAGGGGGGGUGAGGCUGGUCUGGGGUGGGGUGGGGAGCCGGGCUUCUUCCUGAGCCCCUGUCUCCGAGACCGCCUCCCCCCUGGUCUCAGAUCCUGGGCCUGAGUCCAGAGGAAAGGGCAGAAAGGGGCUCGCCACCCACCAGCCUCACUCGUAGGGCAGCCGAGAGCUCACAGCGCGGCUCCCCAGCCCGCUCGCUCAUCCCUCAUCCGGGGCCUGCCUCCUACCUGACUCCCUGUCUAGGAAUUUUUAUUGCAGCCCACAGAGGCAUUGCAGCUUGGCUGGAAUGUGAAAGAUCUGGCCGUGCGGCCGGUGGCAGACACGCAGGUCCUGGCCCCUGGGCGGGAAUGCAGGGGCGGAGGCCCCCGCCUGCUCACAGGUGAGUGUGGCUGUCGUGGUUCUGCGGCUUCGGGGCCUGUCUGGCCUUUGCACCGGCUCUUUGUGCUCUGAUUCUGCCUGGUUGAUUCUGGGUGGAUUUUUGGUUUGACCACUUCCCCCGAGACCUCAGCCCACAGCAGAGACUAAGUCAACAGCGAACCAGGUGUGAAAGCAGGAGACGGGCCCUGAGAGUCACAGCACUUAGGCAGCCCUGCUGUGUCCCUAAGAUCGUGCCCUAGGACCCUCCCUGUGAUGGGGGUUCUCCCAGCGCCCCUGGCAGGACCCCUUAUACAGAUGCAGACUCGCUGAGCCCGAGAGGGCGCUGGCCUUAGUUAGUGAUCAUGGCUGGUGAGUCGCAGGACCGGGACUCAGACCUCAGCAGUCUGGCUCCGGGGCCACUAACUUAUCUGUGUGGGCUAAGGGCUCGGCCGAGGGUCAGUUGUGGCCCUUGCCCCUCGGUCCUGGGAGCAAUGGCAGCCCAGCGUUCCCAGAGCCCUGGCUUUCCUCUCUGCACCCUGCAGAGUGUCCAGGGAGGGGGGAGUGGGCAGAAGGACCCCAGGCUCCAGCUUCCGCAGGCCACCCCGUCUUGGGUGCCAAGCCCGUGGUGCCAGCCUCCCCAUGGGGUGGCCUUGGUCCUCGAGAAGUUCUUCCUGGCCAGGGGAGUGGCUGUGCCCAUCCCACAAGCUGGGAGAUCAGGCUUCUCUGCAGGGGCAGUGGGGGGGCGGGCUGGGCCCUCUCCCCUGGCUGCCCUGGGGUUAUCCACCCAGCCCCUGUGAUUCUGGGGUGGCCCGUGGCCUGCCCUGGAGGGCCACAGCCUGGAGUCCUUGGUAAGGCCAGGCCCAGCGAGCAGGGAGCGAGUGGCACCAGGGAGCAGAAGGCCUGGGCCCGACCCCCACAGCCUAGGAGUGGGUCCUUGGGGCUGCUUCUGCACGCCACCCUCUUUCCUCACCUGCGACAUGGGAAUGGCGCGGGUCCUCCCCUUUGUGGGGCUGUCGUGACAGAACGUAAGAGCUGCUUAGCCAAGUGAUGGGCGCCUCAUAGAUGCUCCUCAAAUGCAGCCUCUUCUUGGUUAAGACCUGGCCGGUAUUGAGGGGGAGGGGGCCACACCAGCCCCAGCGCCUGCCUGUGGGAAGGGAGGGCAGAGUGGCGGGGAAGCCCUUGGCUCCAGUGGGAAAAGUGAGCCAGGGCCUUGAGGCAUGAGUAGGAGUUCUGCCCCGGGCGAGGUUCCCCGGGAGAUGACAGGUCCAGGCACUCUGUCAUCUGAUCCCUGCUGUGGGCUCUGUUCACCCCAUUCCCCAGUGGAGAAAGUGGAGGCUCAGUUGUCCCAGGCCAGGCAGUGGGAGUGGCAUCGGAGCUGAGGCUGUGGGCACAGAUGAGGAGAGGGAGCCCCCGUGCUGUGUAUGUGUGUCACAGAUGAAACCUAGACCAGGAGGCGGGGGCCUGGGCCCAGCUGCCCUGCAGCCUCUGCCCGUCUCCACUGCGACUUACUUCAUUUUCCACAACAAAAGGGGAUUUCUUUGGGGAUAGGGUUGCCGAGAAAGGCGGACACACUUGAGGGUGGCCAAUAGGAAAUAAGAAAACUGGUGAAUGUGUUUCUGAGGUCCUACAGGCAAGGACCGGGGCUGGGAGCAUCUUUCUCAGUUUCCUCUGCUUUUCCAUCAGCUUUGUCAACCGGGGGUCCCCGUGGUAACACUGGAUCCCAUUUGAUCCCGGGCAUUGAUUCUUAACUUGGAUAUGGAACUGAAACAGAAAAUUCUCAACUUUUCCCUCGGGUGCUGGUCCAGAAACCCAGGGUAGGCCAGGAACUGGCAUUUUUAUCAGUCUUCUUUCAGGAGAUUCGGGUUCGAGAACCCUGGAGUCCCAGGUUCUAACCGGCUGGGGUACCAGCACUGAUGUCCAGGGCCGCCCCCAGGGUCCUGGGGGCCCAGGGCUGGCCUUGAAGGCUUUGUCCUCUCUCGGAGCUUUUCCUAGGACAGACGCAGGAGUAACCUCUGUACCCGUUUCUCCUGGCUUCUUCUGCCUCGGAACGCCCGUAGCCACAUGUAUAACAGCCCUGAAGAGAUAACGGUAAUUUCACGGUGAAAAUUGCCUGGCUUUUCUGAUCGUGAGAAGUGAUAUGUGCUCCUUAUUUAAGAAAAAUUCCAAGAAUUUGAUAAACGACCAAGACAAAAGUCUAAAUGCCUGCAAGCCCAUCACGUGGGGAUUAGUUUAUUUGCAGGCCUGUUUCCAGGCCUCUGCCUAGAAGGCUGAUCCAGGGCUUGCAGAGGUGGGUGCUGCCCUUCCCACCGGCAAUUUUGGGGAGAGGGAGAGGGACACAUCUCUGUCCCCUCCCUGGGACGGGGGCCUGAGGCUCACCUGGGGGUGUCCCGCUCAUCCCGGCUGCCCCGACAGCAGCCUGUCCCUUCACUCAGAUGGACCGGACCAAUGCCCGUUGGAGAGGCAGGGGCCGGGCCCCGCCCCCAAGAGGCACCCCCUUUUUUUUUCCCCCCCCCGCCACAGGGCCACGCAACCUCUCAUCUCCCGGGCUCCCAUCAGCGCUGCUCCUGUAUCCAUUUCAUACAUCGAGCUCCUGCGUCAGACUUUUGUUAAAUCCGAGAUCUUUGCUGGUAAAACUUAGC